GACGAACGCUGGCGGCGUGCUUAACACAUGCAAGUCGAACGGAAAGGCCCUGCUUUUGUGGGGUGCUCGCGUGGCGAACGGGUGAGUAACACGUGAGUAACCCGCCCUUGACUUUGGGAUAUCUUCAGGAAACCGGGGCUAAUACAGGAUAGGAGAUCCUGCUGCAGGGUGGGGGUCGGACAGCUUCGGCGGUUGGGGAUGGAGUUGCGGCUUACCAGCUUGUUGGUGGGGGAGCGGCUUACCAAGGCUUAGACGGGUAGCCGGCCUGAGAGGGUGACCAGCCACAUGAGUACUGCGAUACGGACCAGUCUCGUACGGGGGACAACGGGGGAGAGUAUUGCCCAGUGGGGGGGAGCGUGUGACAGCGGCGCCGCGAGCGUGAUGACGGCCUUCUUGUGAUAAACCGCUUUCACCUAUGACGAAGCGUUAGUGACGUUACUGGGUGAAGAAGCACCGGCUAACUACGUG
This 468-nucleotide ribosomal RNA is filed under the name uncultured bacterium. Its description in RNAcentral is "partial 16S ribosomal RNA". It matches the Rfam family "Bacterial small subunit ribosomal RNA", at positions 28 to 507 of the family's 1533-position model. The record is from RNAcentral.